GUUGCGCUUCUCCAGCGUGGCCACCUUCUGCUGCAGCUUCUUCACGUGGUCCUCCUCCUCAAACAGGGCCUUCUGCACCGAGGAGCACAUGAGCUGGGGACGAAGGCAGCAGAGGCCGGUGAGUUCAGAAAACCUGCCCAGGCUGAGGACAGCCCUCAGGGCCCCCGCCCGGCUGGGUUUCGCCCUGUGGCCCCCAAACCAACACCAACGCAGCGCCUCUCCUCUGCUUUCUGUAUCUGGAGGCCCGAGGUAAUUUUGUUUUAAAAAGCUACUCCCUGGUUUAUCUUCUCAUAUGCUUACCAGUUUGCAUCUCAUUGAUGCCCUGUUGGGAUAGUGACUCUUUUGUGUUUUGCUCUCAUUCACCGGUUCUGCCUGCUCAUUUCUAAUCUGGGUCCAAAACAUUUUCCAGAAAAGCCAAAGCUUGAGGCUCACCCAGCUGGAAGGGAAGCUGGAGCCCAUAGAGGCCUUCAGCAUAUUUCCAGGAAAGGCUUUACCUGCCCUGAGGCACAAAUACCUCAUCUGGAAACCUUUCUAAUCAAUCUCGAGAUCGGCUGGAAGAGAAUGUCUUUGAAAAUGGAGAUUUUUGUUUCUAAUGCAGGCCACCUUGGGUUCUCAAAAGAAAAAGGAGAUUCUAAAUAUUCGUCACUCCUAUCCAAAAGGACAGAGCUCCAGGGAACCAAGAGAACCUCUUUUUCCCUAUACAUGCAGUUCGUAUGUUCAUGAACAAAAAUGCUGGUGCACUGAAUGACUGUUAACCUUAAAGCAUAAAAAAAGAAGACAAACAUCAGUCCUGGCUGUGGUCUGCCUCCAACUCCUCUUAGGCAAAGGCCCUCAACAGUUAUUUCUCCAACAAAGAUGUGCAGAUGGCCAACAGAUACAAGAAGUCUGUGACCUGGAAGGGGCCUCACCUGCCCAUGCUGGCUCCCUGACCUUGGACUUCCAGCCUCUAGAGCCGUGAGAAAAAACCUUCUCUUGUGUGUAAGUGACCUACUCUGGAAUUUUGUUAACGUAGCCCAACCAGAUUAAAACUCCCCUGAU
Long non-coding RNA from Phacochoerus africanus (Common warthog), 1038 nucleotides. RefSeq lists it as uncharacterized. The transcript is spliced from 3 exons. Lineage: Eukaryota; Metazoa; Chordata; Mammalia; Artiodactyla; Suidae. The record is from RefSeq and is a predicted model, not a curated record.